This 4922-nucleotide long non-coding RNA is filed under the name Equus asinus (donkey). Its description in RNAcentral is "lncRNA (ENSEASG00005030284.1)". The record is from RNAcentral. Lineage: Eukaryota; Metazoa; Chordata; Mammalia; Perissodactyla; Equidae.
GGAGGUUCUGGUCUUUAUUAGCAAGCCCGGCCUGCAGCUCCCCUCCCCCCAGCCCAACCAGGCAGACAGAAAGUCGGGGUCUCUGUGUGGGGCAGGAAGAGGUACCAGUGGUUCUACUCAAAACGUGUGCACCAGCUGGACUGUGGGCAGAGUCUGGACAAUCUGGAUGGAGGGCAGGCUCUGUGGGGUCAUGCCCCCAGGCGCAGUUCCUGCAGGGACCACUUGUACCAUCUGGGAAGUGGGAGCCGCAGGGAUGCCCGCGGGGAGCGAGGCUGGGCCAGGUGGCGGUGGGGCCAGCAGCUGCAGCGUGGCGGCGCCUCCCCCAACGCUGCUGUUUUCCAGCAGCUCGGUGGCCGGGGCACUGCGGAUGAUGAGCAGUUUCUGUCCCGAGGGGCCGGGGGCAGGCGGCUCAGCCAGCCCCGGGGAGAGGGUCUCUACCUCCUGCACACACAGCUGGGUCUGCUCCCCAUCGGCCCCGCUCAGCACCAGGACGCUCUGCAAUCCCUCGUCAGUCUGCAGCGUCUCAAAGAGCACAUCCUGGACCACACCAGCGCUGGCCUCGCCGUCACCCGGCUCCCCAGGGCUGGGGCCCGCCAGUAAUUCCUCUGCUGCUCCACUCUGAACCACCAGCAGGUUGGGGGCCUCAGUGGUCACUGUUCCUGCACUAGGAUUGGACAGCUGGCCCGCCACAGACUGGAGUUGGACCGUGGUCACUUCCUGUGCCGGCUGCAGCUGGACCGUGGUCACCUCCUGUGCCUGCUGGAGCUGGACCGUGGUCACCUCCUGUGCCUGCUGGAGCUGGACCGUGGUUACUUCCGGGGCUGGCCGGAGGGGCUGGAGCUGGACCCCACUCAUUUCCUGUGGCCCCGCCUCCCCACUCCCUACAUUCUGCAGAACGAUGAGGCUCUGUCCUCCCCCGCUGGCCCCGGCGUUGCCCCCUCCCUGCACCCCCAGCCCCCCAGGGCCGGGCAGCCAAACUACUCCAGCCCCCUGACCAGCUUUCCCCACAGCGCGGGGGCCCUGCCUUGCACGGCCGCCCCCACCACCAGUACUGGAGGAGGGCAGCAGGAUGAGCUUGGGGGGUGCGGGUGGGGGCGGGGGCGUAGGAGGCUGCACGCUGCUGGGGAUGAGUUGGAGACCCUGGGCAGUCUGCACCAAGAGAAAUGUCUGGGAGUUGGGGGCUGCCGGGCCUGCAGGCGGGGCCUGGGCCGGGCCCCCUGCCACCUCUAGGGAGAGCGUGGCCUGGAGGUGGGGGAGCACGUGGACAUCUUGAGUGGCAGAGGGGGCUGGAGCUGCAGCCAGGGGGGCGGAGGGCUGGGGGCCGGCGGCAGGGGCCGCAGGGCUGGCAGCCGCACUGGCCGGGGCAUGCGUCCUCAGGUGGCGCUGCAAGUAGGCGGCCAUGACGAAGCUGCGGCCGCAGAUGGGGCAGGCGAAGGGACGCUCGGCCGAGUGCGUGCGCUGGUGCAGCAGCAGGUUGGAGGAGUGCGUGAAGGUCUUGGGGCAGAGCGGGCAGCGGAAGGGCCGCUCGCCCGUGUGCACGCGCUGGUGCUGCCGCAGGUUGGAGGUCUGGGCGAAGCUCUUGCCGCACACGCCACAGGCGUGCGGCCGCUCGCCCGUGUGUACGUGCCGGUGGCGCCGCAGGCACGAUGUGUUGCGGAAGGCCUUGCCGCACUCCCCGCAGGCGUAGGGCCGCUCGCCCGAGUGCAGCCGCAGGUGGUACUGGUAGUGCGACGACCACUUGAAGGUGAGGCCGCACUGGCCGCAGGUGAAGGCGCGCAGGCCCGUGUGCACGCGCUGGUGGAUGGCGAGCAGCGACGAGCGCUUGAAUGCCUUCCCGCACUCCCCGCACUGGUACGGCCGCUCGCCCGUGUGGUCCCGCAGGUGGUAGCGCAGCCCCGACGAGCCCUUGAAGGCCUUGCCGCACUCGGCGCACUUGUACGGCCGCUCGGCGGCUGCGGCUGCGGCCGCGGGCGCGGGCGGCGGGGGCGCGGCGGCGGCGGGGGCCAGCGGCUCCUGGGGGCAGGUGACCUCGGCAGCCUCGGCCUGAGGGGGCGGUCGCCCGGCCGCCGCCUCCUCCACGUGGCACUGCUGGUGCGCCAGGAGGCUGGCGAGCUGCGGGAAGGCGCCAUCGCAGCUGCCGCAGCGGAACGCCUGGCCGCCGGCCGCGCCGUGGCUGUGCUGGUGGCGCGAGAGGCCGGCCACCGUUCGGAAGGACUUCCCGCAGGGCAGGCAGGCGAAGCCAGGGGCGCGGCGGCGGCGGCGGCGGCGGCGGCAGGGCGGCGGGCGGGGACAGCGAGGGCAACCGGCGGAGGGUCGGCCUUAGGCGCGUCCGGAGGCCCGACCUGGGCCGCCGGCGCCGCCUCGGGCCCGGGGCACGGCUGGUGCUCCAGGAGCAGCUCCUCGCUGCCGAAGCCCAGCUCGCAGCCGUCGCAGCGGUACACCAGCUCCACCGUGGUCUCGGCGGCGGCCAGGAAGAGCUCGGGCACCACGGGCGGCGGCGGCGGGCGGCGGCGGCGCGGGCGGGCUGGCGGCGGCAGGGGCCGGUGCAGGUAGGAGGGGCGGCGCGCCCAGGGCCUUGGCGGCGGGCUCGCGCGGCGCGGGGGUGCCGGGGGCGGGCGCGGCGGGGCCGCCGUGCGUGCGCUGGUGCAGCAGCAGGUUGGAGGAGUGCGUGAAGGUCUUGGGGCAGAGCGGGCAGCGGAAGGGCCGCUCGCCCGUGUGCACGCGCUGGUGCUGCCGCAGGCUGGACGAGUUCUUGAAAGCCUUGGGGCAGUCGGGGCAGGGGUAGGGCCGCUCGCCCGAGUGCUGCCGCAGGUGGUACUGGUAGUGCGACGACCACUUGAAGGCCAGGCCGCACUGGCCGCAGGUGAAGGCGCGCAGGCCCGUGUGCACGCUGCGGUGGAUCUGCAGCAGGGACGAGCGCUUGAAGGCCUUGGGGCAGUCGGGGCACUGGUAGGGCCGCUCGCCCGUGUGGCCCCGCUGGUGGUAGAGCAGGGCCGAGGAGCCCUUGAAGGCCUUGGGGCAGUCGGGGCACUUGUAGGGCCGCUCGCCCGUGUGCGUGCGCUGGUGGUGCAGGAGCCGCGAGGACCACCGGAACGACUUGCCGCACUCCCCACACUCGUACUGGGCCGCCGGGGCGGGGGCCGCGGGGCCGGGCUUCUCCCCGGCGCCCUCGGCGGUCGAGGCCGGCGCCAUGUCUGCGUGGGAGCCGACCAUCACACCUGGGGGGGAUUCCGGGUCAGGGGAGGGCGGGCGCUCCCCCCGCCUCCACCCGAAGGCCGCACCAGCUCAUCCCCAGCCCCACCCUAGGGCCCCACAGGAGGUAGAGGGCGCCUCCCCAGGCCACCCCCGCCGCAGGGAACCUCCCUGAGGACUAGGGCUUCCAACGGUCCGGGUUUGUCCCGGAACGAGAAACUGCAGGGAUGUGAGGCUUCAGGUGCUAAAAUGGAAACUUCCAGGCAAAGUGGGAGGAGUUGGUCACCUGCCUUAGGAUGUUGGCCAUCACCUCCAGGAGGUACGACAGGCCUGAGGGGGCCAGGCAGUGUCGUUGAAGAAGGCUGGAUGCUCUCCAGCACCCUGGCUUCCCAUCCUUGACCUCUGUUCCUCCACUCCCCAUCCUCCACCCUGCCUCAGACUCCCUCUCACCGCCAUACCCUAAGCCCUUUCACUCUAACUAAAGCCCCUGUGAGCAUCCCACUCUCCCCCACCUCCGGUCCUGCCUGCCCACUCCCUCUUGGUACCCUAACCAAAAAACCCCCAGACUCCAGAUCGGCCAUGCUCCAGGCUCCGCACCCUCCGUCCCCCAUCCCAUCGUGACUUGGUCCUCCGUCUCCCUCUCAUUCAUGCCUGAGGAUCUCGAGGCUCCCUCCUGGCCGCCCUGCACUGCCCUUGCUGCGUUUCUCUAUUCCAUUCACUCCCCAGGUAAUAGUGGCAUGUUCCUUUUUACAAAAAUCUGUUUCUUGUCUCCUCCUGCUCUUGGCAGGUGACCCUGCCAUUGAUCUCGUCACUGAGAGAAUAAAGCAAUCAGAAGAGAACCAUGUACCCGUGGUGCUCAACAGGGCAACCAAGUCCCCGCACCACAGGGCCAUGGCCCAGGGACACUUGGCAAUGCCUGGAGACUGUUCUGGUUGGCUGGUUGUUGACGGGAGGAGCGGGUGCUCCUGGCAUGUGAGGGGUACAGGCCAGGGAUGCUGCUCCACGCCCUACAAUGCACAGGACGGCACCCUGCACCAAGGAACGAUCCCACCCAAAACACCAGUGGGGCUGAGCUGAGAAUGCCUGCCCCGGGCCGGUGGACGCUGCCUUCCCACCCACAGCAGUCUGCCUCAUCUCCUGGACCAUUCCCGUCCGGCCUGCCCGCAAGCUACAUCUCCCAUCUUUUAAAAAAACAGCAACAAAAACUCUUCACCCCACCUCCCCCUCAACUACCCCUGCAUUUCUCUCCUCUCCUUUGCUACAAAGCAACUCAAAAGUGCCGUCAACACAUGCUCCUUCCCAUCUCAAACCCCGUCAGUCAGAGCCCUCCCACCCCACUCAGGGCCUCCAUGGGGCUAAAUGCCAUGGUCACUGCUCAGUGGGCAGUGGAUCCCUCCCUCCUGGAAGCCCUCCCCUGGCCUCCGCCAUUCCCCUCUCCUCUUGCCACCCCUUCUCAGGGCCUGGGGCUGCUUCCUCCUCACCUCCUUGACUUGUGGAUGUAGGGGAGCCCAGGGCUUUGUCAACCCCUGGUCCUCCUCCUCAUCCACACUCUCUCCCUGGGAGCCCUCACCCACUCUCAGGACUUCACCGUCUAUAAACAGGAUGACCCCAAAACUGAUCUCUACUUGACACCUCUCCUGCUCCAAAGCCCUGCUAGGCAUCUGGAUGCCUAACAACACCUCAAACCAAACAUGCCCAAAAUCUGACUCCAGUUUCUUUUGCUCCUGCUC